GACGAACGCUGGCGGCGUGCUUAACACAUGCAAGUCGAACGGAAAGGCCCUGCUUUUGUGGGGUGCUCGAGUGGCGAACGGGUGAGUAACACGUGAGUAACCUGCCCUUGACUUUGGGAUAACUUAAGGAAACUGGGGCUAAUACCGGAUAGGAGCUCCUGCUGCAUGGUGGGGGUUGGAAAGUUUCGGCGGUUGGGGAUGGACUCGCGGCUUAUCAGCUUGUUGGUGGGGUAGUGGCUUACCAAGGCUUUGACGGGUAGCCGGCCUGAGAGGGUGACCGGCCACAUUGGGACUGAGAUACGGCACAGACUCCUACGGGAGGCAGCAGGGGGGAAUAUUGCACAAUGGGCGGAAGCCUGAUGCAGCAAUGCCGCGUGCGGGAUGACGGCCUUCGGGUUGUAAACCGCUUUCGCCUGUGACGAAGCGUGAGUGACGGUAAUGGGUAAAGAAGCACCGGCUAACUACG
RNAcentral lists this ribosomal RNA (466 nucleotides) under uncultured bacterium. Its description in RNAcentral is "partial 16S ribosomal RNA". It matches the Rfam family "Bacterial small subunit ribosomal RNA", at positions 28 to 505 of the family's 1533-position model. The record is from RNAcentral.